Molecule: long non-coding RNA, 4340 nt
Organism: Felis catus (domestic cat)
Lineage: Eukaryota; Metazoa; Chordata; Mammalia; Carnivora; Felidae
Exons: 14
Source: RefSeq, a predicted model, not a curated record
CCAUACACAUUUUAGAAUUGUUUGUUUUAGUUCUAUGAAAAAUGCCAUUGGUAUUGAAAUCAAAACUUAAAAAAAGAGUGCCUUCUCUAAUAAAAAGUAAACGAAUAAAGGUCAGUCUUAGACAAACAAUGAAACACCGUUUAGGCCAAACAAAAUUGAUCGGAGGCUGAGUUUAAGUUGGGAGCUGCCACAUGCUGGGGCUUAAUGGCAUGUGGAACAGACACCCAGGGUUCCAGCACCGUGUGCUGUGUGGGAGAAUGAGAGCCACGCCGGCCAAGCAGAACCACACCUGGGGCACUUGCACAGUCUGCCGGACACCACGGAAGCACAGGCAGGCAGUCGACCUUGUGGGCCCAGCCCUCUGUUGAGGGAGAAGUGACACUGUGGCGGGCCACUCGGACUCCACUGUGCUCUGCACUUGGAAGCAAAUGCCUUUGGACUGGCUGAAUUCCUGAGUGCCUGGAUCAUGCAGGGAAACCUCAAGAAGGAGAUGGCAGGCUUCCUUUUUUAUAAUGCUGGAACUACCCGAGUUGUUGGAGAUUCUGUUUUGGACAAGAUAGAAAAGCGAGCCCCUGGUCCUCAUGGAGCCCACAUCCUUACAGAAUAUCAAAAUUAGAGUCAGUCUGUGACCAUGAUGGAUCAAGGCAAGAUCGAGCCCACCCACAACGAUGUCUGAGUAAAAAACAUGAACAUCGUCCACACCACAAGAAAAGUCACGUCCUGGCUGAGAGGAAGAGUUAUGAUGGCAGAGAAGUGGGGGGACCAGGAUUUCCCUCAACCCACAACACGGCAGUAUUGAGGUCAGAACACCUGGAACACCCACACAGUCAGUCUGCAGAGUGACAGAAAAAUGUCCACAGGUGGAGGGAGACAGCUUGGAGGGACUGAGCCUCUCUUCCAGACGUGUGCAGCCACUGGUCCCAGGCACCAACAGAUGACUGUCCACAGGUUUAGUAUUACCACACAACAGAUUACUGUUCUUCAGUAGUAAGAUCUGAAGUCAGGAAGCUGACUUCCUCAGAUCUUCCUCGUCUCAUCUACAUAGCUGAAGAAGGAAUGGUUGUGUGAAUAUCAAUAUGGUAUUGAUAAAUGCCUGAAAAGCCUCUGACAAUGUGUUUUCCAACCAGAAGGUUUGAACUUGAAACUCUCUCACAAAAAGGAAAGGAAGAAAGCGAUACAGAUACCUGAAGUAAAGAACCAGAAAGAAUGAUCCUGCAAAACUGACAUCUAUUUUAUAUUAUCAACUAACUUUUCUUUCUCCUUUGGCUGAAGUUUAGACUCUUUGCUAAUUGUGUCGGUUGGCUUUAUUGUAAAACAAAUCACUUUCUUUUUCAUCGUGACUAACAGGGAGUCAUGAUUUAAUAUGUGUUAAUUACAGGGAUACAAGUAUUAUUCAGCCUAUUCCUUUUUAUAACAAAAGUGUCGAGUGAAACUGGUAGGCAGCUUCUGAUGUGCUUUCCAAUGAACUCCACCUCCUGGUAUUCACACUUUUGUGUAAUCCCUUUGAGUGCGAGCUGGACCUAAUGACUUGCUUCUAAUAAACAGAACAUGGAUAAAUGGAUGGACUAUCACUUCUGGGUUUGGAUUGCUAGCAUUCUCUUUCUUGAACUCUCUCUUGCUACUGCCAUAUUGUGAGCUGCUCUGUGGAGACACCUACGUGGCAAGGAACUGAAGGAAAUGUCCAGCUCAUGAGACUCGAUGCCUGAGUCCAACAACCUGCUGAGAUCUGAAUCCUGAAACCACAAGAAAAGGGCACCAUCAUCGGUUCACAGCUCAAGGAAGUGUGACAGAAUGAACACACCUGUGUCUCCAUCACCUGCUCGGGAAGCUUCUUGUCCCUCUUCACAGGUGCCAGCACUCCACAAAGGCGACAUUUGCAAGUAUGGUGGAAAAGCGACGCAUAUCACAAAAAACUGAAUACAGAAGCAGAUAUAAGAAAUGAAAGGUCUUCUAACAAGCUAGAAGUUUGAGAGAAAUGAAAACGUUCAAUAAUGCUGCUCCUCUCACUGAAGCGGAAGCUGGAAAGCGGAUAAUAAUAGAUGAGGAACCACAGUUUCCAGGUCUUUGUGCAACAGGAUGUGGCCAUUUAACUAAUUCUCACCAAUGUAAUUAGCAGAAGUGAUGUGUACUGUUUUGGGACCAAGGCUUUUGUGAAACAGGUAAUUUUCACAACCACUCUAUAACAUUGGCAUUAUCAUCACCAUUUAACAAGUGAAGACACUGAUAUGUUGAGAGUAUCACACUAAAUGAAAGGAUAACAGAUGCGUGACUAUGUAUAUCCUCUCUUUGUCCAUGGAAGAAAUUCUUAAUUGGUCAAGACACACAAAACUUGAUCUUGGAUCUUUUUCAACAUGUGUUUCAGGUGAUUAUUCACAUUUAACCUGAGUUAAUACUUGAGGUGAAAACUAAGGUACUAUUAAGUGCUAAUAGUGGAUAGAAAAAAAGUUAUCAAUUUGGACUAACUUUGGGAUAGAUCAGACUGACUUAAAGAAAUGAAAUGUAUGGCAAUAAGAUAUCUAAUUACAAGUGGAAGCCAACUCUGAACUAGGUAUAGCAGAUGCCGUUGACAAUCUGCCAAUGUCUCUUUGGCUACCUGAGUUUUCUUGCAGUUGUGGAAAACUCCCACCCCGUGAUAGUUUCCCACCUUAGGUACACCUGCAUUCUCCCCUUUCUCUGCCUGAGGGUUUCCUCCAGUGUUACUAGAGCUUACUCACUUGAAAGCUAAACCAGAAAGCUUGAGGGAGCUAACCUUCUGGGAGGCAACCUUCAGUCAAUGGUGACGGGAGUGGUAGACAAAUGCCCCAGACUCCCUUUUCUUUGGUGGGAGGGUCCUGAUGUUUGUCUCACAAGAUUUCUCAGAAGGUCUCCAGCAAGACUAAGCCCCUCUUGCUUUUUAUUGGCACUUCUCUCUUCCCUGUCUCAUGUUCCUAACUUCCUAACAUGUCUUCCUGGGUUUACCUUCCAAACAAUCUGUCCACCUCUAAUCUUUAUUUUAGGGUCUGCGUUUAGAGGAUCCAAAAUUAAGAUUCCAGGCUAAAUAUUAUAGGGACCAUUUUGUAAGUGAAUAAUUUUUAUAAUCAAUAUCACUUUUUAAUGUAUAUAGGGUAGUCAUUGAUAUUAUUCACUUACUCUCCUUGUGAGAAGAUUGUACAACCCUACUCUGUUGAAUUUAGGAGUGGCCAUAGGACAUGCUUUGGCUAAUGAAUUGUGGGUGGAAGUGGCACCACUUCCUAACAAAGGUUUAUGAGCUAGCUCAUGGUUUUCCAUAUCUCUUUUCCCUCUGCCAUAAGGCAGUCAAAAUUCCAGAUGAAGCUACUCUAUCAGCACUGAGCCCAGGUAUGAAGAUGACAGAUAUGAGCAGAGUUUCCACUGAACUAUAAUGAACAUAUGCAAUGAAUAAGAAAUAGACUUUGUUCUUGUAAAUCACAGAGAUUUUGGAGUAGUUUAUUGCCUUAGCAUAGCUUAGGUUAAAUUGGCUAAUAAAGAAUUUUUUUUAAAUAAUGCAGUCCAGUGGUUCUCAAUCUUGGUUAAUCAUAAGAUUUACUAGUACAUCUUUUCAUUUAUAGAUUUAAACUUAUUAUAAUUCAGUAGGCUUGGGUCAGAAAGUUAAGGGUACUUUGUAUUUUAAAAUCUCUCCAGAUGGUUCUAAUGAUCUCACUGUUUGAAACACAACCAUUUUGCUUAGUUUAUUUAUUUUUUCAUUUUGCUUAUUUUAAGGGAGGAGACUGACAGCUUGAAAAGUUGUCUAUUCUUUUAAAUAAUUUAUUAAAAAUACUAUGUGAUACAGGUUGGAGUUUGAGUUAUUUAUAAAAUCUUUUCUUCUAAAGAGCAAAAGAGCAAACUUAAUUGUAUACCUGAAUAGAGGCAAAAUCUGAAUUAGUAUUAUCCAAAUUAAUAAAGUUUAAUUGUAUGUCACAUAUAGGCCAUCUGGGUUCAAACCUAAUCAAAAAUUAUAAAUGCAGCAUGUUACUAAAGCCAUUAGUAGGCCAGAAAGGCUAAGAGUAGUAGGGUUUUAAUAACUGAAAGUAAAUUUGUUGCAUAGAUAUGCACAUAAAAAUAAAAUCUUUGUCCUUGCUAUUAACAGAUUAUGGGUCCACAAGGAGAAUUUGCCUUGGAGACUGACAGAUCAAGUUAAAGGUGUUUCAAAAGCAUCUGAUGACAUUUUCUAGCAUCACACCUUGCAACUAUGUACCAUUCACUUGUCUGGGUCACUGUAUAUUUUUAAGCUGUAGAAAUUACUUAUAUAAUUUUACUUUUUAAAAACAUUUAUUUAUUUAUUUUGAGAGAGAGCAUGUGUGUGCACAAACAAGGCAGGGGCUAAAAGAAUGGAAGAGAGAAUC